GCCCAGGCUUCAUAAGCUGGAAGCAGAAGUCUAUUAUUCAGUAUGUAUGUAUGUAUGUGUGUGAGUGAUAGUUGGCAUUUAUGGGGUUAACUGUGUUUACCUGAGCAGACAGCGUCAGGCUGUGGUAUUGCGUCAUGAUGUCACACAGGCCGACAGUGAGAGAGACAGAGAGAUGACGCUGUCGCUCUGCCCGAAGUGUCCAUAACUUAAUAGAAGACGGUCCAAAAGCGUCUAAGACGGUCGGAAUUCGCCAGCGGUUGCAUCCACGUGUUUUUGCUUCAUAGUUCCUGCUCGGCGGUCGGGUUUUUUGAGUUGGAUAUGAUUUACUGAAGAUUUGGUGUUGGAAGUCGACGUCACCGUCACCAGUAACCAACUUCAGCGAGGAGACCAGCAGCAGAUAGCCAUGAGGCGGCUUCCUGCUGGUGAAGAGGAUCCAGAGAACCAGAUGGCGAGCCAGAGCUGAUGAACAGCGGAUGAAUUACCUACCUUCUUAACUGCGGUGUGGUAGGACCACGAAGUACACACAAAAUUAAAAAGGGCCCCAACGUAACAACCACAGAGGACACUUUCUUUUAUAUUUUUUUUAUAUUAUUCUCGUGCGCACUUUAUUAUUUUUCUUGUUAAUUGAAUUGUAUUCUAUUGUCACAUUGUUCUAUGAGUUCUAUUGAGUAUUAUUAUAAUACAGUGUUGAGAACUCAA
Solea senegalensis (Senegalese sole) is the source of this 699-nucleotide long non-coding RNA. RefSeq lists it as uncharacterized. Lineage: Eukaryota; Metazoa; Chordata; Actinopteri; Pleuronectiformes; Soleidae. The transcript is spliced from 2 exons. The record is from RefSeq and is a predicted model, not a curated record.